This 784-nucleotide ribosomal RNA is filed under the name uncultured bacterium. RNAcentral's name for it is "bacterial SSU rRNA". It matches the Rfam family "Bacterial small subunit ribosomal RNA", at positions 62 to 876 of the family's 1533-position model. The record is from RNAcentral.
UCGAGCGAUUUCUUCGGUAAAGAGCGGCGGACGGGUGAGUAACGCGUGGGUAACCUGCCCUGUACACACGGAUAACGUAGCGAAAGGUAUGCUAAUACGAGAUAAAAUACUUUUAUCGCAUGGUAGAAGUAUCAAAGUUUUUGCGGUACAGGAUGGACCCGCGUCUGAUUAGCUAGUUGGUAAGGUAACGGCUUACCAAGGCGACGAUCAGUAGCCGACCUGAGAGGGUGAUCGGCCACAUUGGAACUGAGACACGGUCCAAACUCCUACGGGAGGCAGCAGUGGGGAAUAUUGCACAAUGGGCGAAAGCCUGAUGCAGCAACGCCGCGUGAGCGGUGAAGGCCUUCGGGUCGUAAAGCUCUGUCCUCAAGGAAGAUAAUGACGGUACUUGAGGAGGAAGCCCCGGCUAACUACGUGCCAGCAGCCGCGGUAAUACGUAGGGGGCUAGCGUUAUCCGGAAUUACUGGGCGUAAAGGGUGCGUAGGUGGUUUCUUAAGUCAGAGGUGAAAGGCUACGGCUCAACCGUAGUAAGCCUUUGAAACUGGGGAACUUGAGUGCAGGAGAGGAGAGUGGAAUUCCUAGUGUAGCGGUGAAAUGCGUAGAUAUUAGGAGGAACACCAGUUGCGAAGGCGGCUCUCUGGACUGUAACUGACACUGAGGCACGAAAGCGUGGGGAGCAAACAGGAUUAGAUACCCUGGUAGUCCACGCCGUAAACGAUGAGUACUAGCUGUCGGAGGCUACCCCCUUCGGUGGCGCAGCUAACGCAUUAAGUACUCCGCCUGG